RNAcentral lists this long non-coding RNA (303 nucleotides) under Ricinus communis (castor bean). Its description in RNAcentral is "long non-coding RNA (RCOM_LNC001360)". The record is from RNAcentral. Lineage: Eukaryota; Viridiplantae; Streptophyta; Magnoliopsida; Malpighiales; Euphorbiaceae.
UCUGGCUGCCAUCACUUGAUCGAAAGUCCUUCCUCCGGCCACCAUUGCCGACACUGCUACUCCCAAAAGAAAGCCCUCAACUCACUGGUCAUUCUAAGACAAACCUCACUGCCAUUGGAUGCUGGAAACGCCCACGCACGGCGAUAAGGGAAGCUAUGGUUGCCCUUCUCCUUUCCGCGCCUGCCAUCGCCGCCCGCUGCCGCCACCAGCACCAAUGAGCUUGCCAACGACAACAAUAUCCCUAGUCGUCGCCGCCGCGCCUGAUCGAGCAUCCAUCACUGCCUACCAUUGAAGCCAACGAAU